UUAAAAAUAGACAUUUAAUAUUUUAUUCAGGGAAUUUUUUUUCAUUAGUUUUUCAUCAAAUUCUGUUAACCGAAAAUUAACGGAAGGAAUAACAUAAAUAAUUAGAGUUUAGGAGCUCCACAACAGAUUGUAUACAACAAAAGGUAUUACAUGUUCAUUUUAUGAGUUUAGGGAUAAAGUAAAAUUCCACCAAAAGUUCAGGGAUAACAGAACAAUCUAGACUUUUUUAUACUAAAAUAAAUUAUCAA
This 248-nucleotide long non-coding RNA is filed under the name Ananas comosus (pineapple). Its description in RNAcentral is "long non-coding RNA (ACOM_LNC028315)". The record is from RNAcentral. Lineage: Eukaryota; Viridiplantae; Streptophyta; Magnoliopsida; Poales; Bromeliaceae.